AGAUAUAAAGGUGAUCUGGUUGUGACAUGUAUCAAUGUAUGGAUCACUAAUGUUGAUUCAAGUGAUAGAGCUAGCUGAGCAUGUCCCCUUCCUCUCUCACUAGUCCAUGUGUAUGUGCUUGGUAGAAUUGGACAGAUAUCCUAGACAAAAGGGGUAUCCCACUUGUUCUGAACCAUUAUUUAGCAAAAGAACAUAAUUUGAGGCAAUAGUUUGGAAUCAGAACAAGGAAAUUAACACCAAGCCAUAGUAGGAAUCAAUCUUCUACUUCUUGAGAUCUGUCCAGGUUUCUGAUCUGA
This 296-nucleotide small nuclear RNA is filed under the name Anolis carolinensis (green anole). Its description in RNAcentral is "7SK RNA". The stretch from base 1 to 106 matches the Rfam family "7SK RNA", at positions 1 to 108 of the family's 331-position model. Lineage: Eukaryota; Metazoa; Chordata; Lepidosauria; Squamata; Anolidae. The record is from Rfam by way of RNAcentral.